AUGAUGCAGUUCCACAACACACAGCCACAUUCACCCACAGACCGAGGUACAGAACGAGAGACAACCUCUGCCCCCCCAGCAGCUGGCCAGCUUUGCAGCCCCAGUCUUGAGCCCCCAACGACCCUCCCCCCACCCACCCCCAUCCCCUUCCCAAUUGAAGGAGCGGAAAGAGAAGAGAGAAGAGUGAGCAGAGAGAUUGAGAGAUUGAGAGAGAGAGAGAGAGAUAGACGGAGAUCUCUGGAGCAGACCUCAAGGCUCUGAUCCCCUGAGACACAGUGCCUACCAAUGCCUGUGCGAUGCAGAGCCUCGCGAAGAACUGAAAACCAAGGAGAGGGCACUUGCAGAUGACGUUGCUCCCAUGGCAGCGUCUGUGCCCGUGGGCUUCUCUCUGUGGAAAAUGGUGGAGGCUGCUUCUGCCCCAGGAGGGAGAAACACCGACUCCCUGGCUUUGGCGCCAGAAGCCUGGAUCGGCUGCCAGGUGACAUAUUUCUAUCUGGUUCUCGUCUUGGGGGGCCCUGGCCGGGCAGCCCCCCAACACUUCUCCUGCCCUGAAACACGGCUCUAGCCAACC
RNAcentral lists this small RNA (571 nucleotides) under Pongo abelii (Sumatran orangutan). RNAcentral's name for it is "processed transcript". The record is from RNAcentral. Lineage: Eukaryota; Metazoa; Chordata; Mammalia; Primates; Hominidae.